CUUGCCUGAGAUCUUUCCUAGUAGCCAAGGGUUUGCAUUUUUUAAAGCCAGCGGCAAAGAAUAACAAAAGUGGAAAGACCUCCACGACACUGUCCUAACACAUCCUGUGUUCCAGCCUUAAACAUGACUGUUGUGGGAUAAUCUUUUUGUUCACUGUGAAGAUGUGUCUUUGCCAAGGUACCUUCUGAUUGGUUUAAUAAAAAGCUGAAUGGCCAAUAGCUAGGCAGGAAGAGGUUAGGCGGGACUUCCAGGAGAGGGAGGAACUCAGGGGGAUGAAUCUCGGCACACAAGAGACUCCAGCAAGACUUGGCACAAGUUGGACAUACAGAACAGGAGAAAGACUGCAGAUUAGAACUUGGCCACAGAGGCAACAGCCUUGAAAAUGUAAUCAUAAUUCCAGGCAACCAUUUGCCCAGCAACCGGAUCAAAACUGCUUGGAACCAGGUCUGCUCAGCCCUGAUGUCGAAGGACAGAGUAGAAACACAACCAUGACUGCAUGACAGGCCUAACUAGGGUUAGCACUCUCACCAUUUUCCAAACACACAUCCCCUCAGAAUGAAGGAAAGAAGAGUUCAGACAUCUGUCCACCCAGAACUGCCUCCUAUCUUCAUUCCUUCUGGCAGCUUCUUCCAUUGUUUUACCUUUUCUCUGUGGAAUCAUCUUUAGAACACACUAGUGUCAGACCGGAACUCCCUACUUGAAAGUGUUUGGAUGAAAAAACUGGUCAGAACAUGUUUGAGUCCCAAGAAGCAGAAAGCUCGGAUAGUUGGCCCCACCAUGAAGACACUUAUUGUACUUGAGAAGUCGCCUGGAGAAAAUGACUGCCAAUGAUUCCAUAGCCAGACUCCAAGUCCUUCCGGCUUCUGGGUCUGGCAUUCCUAGGCUGGACUCUGCCACUUACCAAGGUAGCUGGUCUCCGGAUGUCACAGGGCCUGUCAGGAGGUGGGGUACUUUGUCCCCAUGUAUCAGCCUAAGCCAAACUGCCACCAUCUUUGGGAGACCUGUCAGUCCUGCUCCCAACUUCUCUCAUAGAAGAAAGAAGUGUGGAGGACCAUGGGACCCUCACCUGAAUAUCCAGCCACAUCUCCCAAACAGUUAUCCAAGAGAGACAGACAAGGGACAAACGAA
This 1128-nucleotide long non-coding RNA is filed under the name Cricetulus griseus (Chinese hamster). Its description in RNAcentral is "lncRNA (ENSCGRG00015040891.1)". Lineage: Eukaryota; Metazoa; Chordata; Mammalia; Rodentia; Cricetidae. The record is from RNAcentral.